CCUUCGAUUCCUAAAGUGGUUUUUUUUUUUUUUUUGUGUAGUGUUUGUGGUGUGAUUACAAUAAGAGUUGCUUAGCCUCGAUACAAAGAGCUAUAUGUAAUAAGUGGUUCUUAUCUACUGUCACGGCGAAUCAAUCAGAAGGGGGACACUUAAAAGCUACCGACGAAUGUUGUGUCACGUGUAAAAGACGCCGAAUUGUUUCUCUUGUUCCUUUCUUUUUCUUUUUUUCUUCUUUUUUAAUUCCGUUUUCCGUCGUAUUCCGAAAAAUGAUUGGUCGAUCGUCCAAAUUCAGGAUCCUUUUUCUUCUUGUCAGCAGAAGAGAGACAGGCGAGAGCUGCGUCGUACGAACUUUUCGAAGCGAUUCAUCCGCGCACGCUCUGUUUGUUGUCCAGGCGACGCGGAUAUUUUGAGAAAAAAGCACGUGCGCUCUCGAAAGUUUGUUUUUUACCUUCUUUUUUUUUUCUGUGCAGGCAGUGCGAGUAGAAAAAAUCUUGUUGCUUUCUUUUUUUCUUUUUUUUCCUUUUUUUUUUUUCUUUUUCUGAUACUUGUUCUUGACCGCUUGCUCUCUCUCUUUCUUCUUCUCCUUUUCUUUCUUUUUUUUUCUUUUUUACUUGAUUUUUUUGUUCAAAGAUAGUUUCGCGCUUUUUGCAGAAGUAUUGGAAUGCUUUGUAGUUUUUGUAUUUUUUUGCAAGAUGAGAAUUUUAACCACGCGUUCCCCCCCUCCCCACACCUU
This is a long non-coding RNA of Apis dorsata (giant honeybee), 733 nucleotides long. RefSeq lists it as uncharacterized. The record is from RefSeq and is a predicted model, not a curated record. The transcript has 3 exons. NCBI's taxonomy places the organism in Eukaryota, Metazoa, Arthropoda, Insecta, Hymenoptera, Apidae.